ACCGUCAGAAAAACAAAAACUUGGGGGUUGGGGCGCGAUGUCGGAGGCAGCGGCAGGCUGAUGCAAGGGAGGGGACGCGUGCUUCCAGCGACAGGGGUGAACCUCCAACGAAUCCCAUCCUCGACUUGCCGGGGCUCCAAUUUUCGCUGCUCGAGCUCUCCCAUGGCCGACCUCAUGAGUCCUCCUCUCCUCUGUCUUCCUUACGCCCACAUUGUUCUAUUGGCCCCCAGUAUGAGUGGAUGUCAUGCUGGUGGUCGCCGACCCAUCGGGGAGGUCGGCUACCUUCCGCGUCGCCUACUGCGGCACCGCAUCCGGGUCUUGCUGAUGUCUUGCCCUUCGUCACUGCUACACGUUCUGCAUCUUUCGGCUGUGCGCAUGCAUGGUGUGGUUUUGGGCGACUCCUUGCUCGGUCAGUUCGAUUUUUCGUCAGGUACGCUGCAUCAAUCACACCAAUAGUCUUCAUGUUGUUUGACCAGAUGUGCACAGGUACUCGGCCAGCAUGUGCACAAGUUGUCAUGCUGAAACUGUGCAUUCUCUUACUCCAUAGGAGCACGUCAAUGUUCUGAUUACUGUAGAGAUUUGUUUUCUCUCAGAUUUUAACUCUCGGAAGAGAGGACCGAAAAGCGCUGCAUAGACUGUAUGCAGACUUUCAAAUGCUUAAGUCUAAUGGAGACACUAUUCAAACUGAGAAGAGCCUUAGGCUAACUGUGAUUUGUGAGUGACGUACCUUAAAUUUUUAACUGUAGAAGAGAAUUUCUUUCUCCGUUCAGUUUUUUUUGCUUAAUAAAAGUAGUUCCCAAAUAGUUGCUGGUGGUUAUGGCAUGGCAAGUGUGCUGCUUGGAGCAAAGUAGUCAAUCCCCUGUUUUUUGUUCAGUUCUUUGUUUCAGGUUUAUUGGGUUGCUUCUGAUUUAUUUCGUUUCUGCAAUUCUGCGGGUCUUCAUGGAUGGCCUUCUACAAAUGCCUAUAUCUAGCAUUCUCUUGGUCUGAAGGCAGGUUCCAGGCAGAUCCGUCAUCAGGGAACCUAAGAGAGUAGCAAUGCAAAUAGCCUUGGUGAAAAAUUUCUCACCUCGAGGGUCUCGACGAAAUGUUGUUGUGCGUGUCACACGGAUCUGAGAAAACAAGGAUCAAGCACAAAAUCGGUAUGUGUUGGGAUUCAUUGUCAUUGACCAACCGGAGCUUCUUGGGCAUUCAAACACUUGAAUACUUGAUCCAGCUCACCUACAAAUGAAGUCCAUGCAGUUAGUUUGAUCUACUCAUUUAAUUACCUAUCAAUGUUUACUCUGCUUUUUCUGCAAUGCACCCAACCAGCUUUACCUUUUAGUGUACUGCAUGUUCAUUUGCUAAGUGGAUAUUUAGAAUCUUGACAUGUUGGUAUAGCAAUAUACCUGUUCCAAAAAUAUCUGAUAUGAAUGACAGGUACAAUGCAUAAACCCUUAGAGCCAAUACACUAACAUACAUGUUAUUUACUAAACAUGUGUGUGCAAAUUUGUUGCAGCCUCGGAAACAAAAUACCUGAACCAAUAGAGACAUGCUUUAUGCUCUGGCUAAACAACUAAUGUAAACUAUUUUGGUGAACAUCUCUCCAUUACUAUACAUUAUCUACAUAAUAUUAGUCACAUAAAACCAAUGAUUUUCUUUCAUGGGAAUCUAAUAAUUAAUCCUUGCAACAUCUACAGACCCAAACUAUCUGUUAAUUCAAAGGAUAUCAAGCCUAACGAGGAGAACAAAGAAAUAAUAGCUCUCCUCUAACAGCCAGUCCACUGAAGACAAACUUCGGUUAAUCAAGCCAACCGGUAAGUAAAUUGAGCAUUGCUGCCCAUGAUACUACAAAGCUUCUGCUCCAAAUUACAGCAUAUUGUACUUCACUAGACGUCAGAGAGAAACUUUUAUUCUAGACUAGCUCAAAUGGCCAUGCAGAGUGAAAGAAAAAAAGUUGAUUCAAAACCAUCAGCAUAACCCAAAUUUUACCCGAAGUCGAUCGACCCGUAACCCUAGCCUCAGUUCAUCAUUAUAUCCUAUAAUCUUUGAUUAUUUUUAUUUGAUCUACUCUUUUAUGCUUCAUUGCUAUUUUUUUCAUUCAAGCUACUAUUAGGAGCAAGGAUGAGGGAGACAUUAUCAAAUGAAGGCAUUGCAAAUCCAAGAGCCUUCAAUGUGUAACACUGGAGCACACAUUUAUGGUGCGAAGGACAAUUUGAAGGCCAAGAGCCGAACAAUAUAAUCAAGACACACAAUAAAAAGAGGUGCAAGGGAAUUACUUUGUAAAUGAGAGUUUGUCGUUAUGCGUUUGUUAGAUGAUCGAUCCUCGGCUCUAGAUGAAACUUGAGAAUAUAUGAAUUCAGGGGAAUACUAAAAUUUAAUAACUUCUCUGCAUCUUUUCGUUGCCU
RNA transcript from Lolium rigidum, 2384 nucleotides. RefSeq lists it as uncharacterized. Lineage: Eukaryota; Viridiplantae; Streptophyta; Magnoliopsida; Poales; Poaceae. The transcript has 4 exons. The record is from RefSeq and is a predicted model, not a curated record.